GGCAGAGCUUGGAUGUGAACCAUGCUGUUUACCUGGUUGCUGGGAACAGCUAUCACGUGAGGGCAUGUGUGUGUGUGUUCUACCUGUCCUCCCUUGAUACUCCUGAGGUAGCUGGUCCUGUGCCCAACUUUGAUUCAUUUCUAGUGAAAAACAACCUGACCUGAAGAUAAGAAUUCACUCCAGCAAGAUCAUCAGCUAUGAUAACUGGACCUCUCAGAGUUCAUGUUAACUGGUGACUUAUUGCACUCAAGAGUCCUUAUGUGUGAGAAACAGGAGUCUAGCAUGGCUGUCCUCUGAGAGGCUCCACCCAGCAGCUGACUCAGAGAGAUGCAGACACCCACAGCCAAACAGUGGAUGGAGCUUGGGGACUCUUAUGGAAGAAUAGGAGGAAGGUUUGCAUCCCCUAAGGGGAUAGAACUCUACAGGAAGACCAACAGAGUCACCUAUCCUGGACCCUUGGGGCUCUCAGAGACAGAACCACCAACUACAGAACAUACAUGGACUGGACCUAGGCCUUCCUGCACAUAUGUAGCAGAUGUGCAGCUCGGUCUUCAUCCCAAACAACUGGAGUGUGGGUUAUCCCAAAAGCUUUUGCCUGUAUGUGAGAUAUGUUCUAUAAUCUGGGCUGUCUUCUAUGGCCUCAGUGGGAGAGGAUGCAUCUAGCUUCACAGAGACUUGAUAUGCUCUGUUGGGGUUGGGGGCUCAGAAGGGGAGGGGAGAUUUGUGGAAAGGGGACUGGGAGGGGGACAGUGAGUAGGAUGUAAACUGAAUAGGUAAAAUAAUAAUAAUAAUGAUAAUUAAAAAAAA
This 807-nucleotide long non-coding RNA is filed under the name Mus musculus (house mouse). RNAcentral's name for it is "cDNA sequence BC016548". The record is from RNAcentral. Lineage: Eukaryota; Metazoa; Chordata; Mammalia; Rodentia; Muridae.